This 495-nucleotide ribosomal RNA is filed under the name uncultured bacterium. Its description in RNAcentral is "partial 16S ribosomal RNA". It matches the Rfam family "Bacterial small subunit ribosomal RNA", at positions 28 to 507 of the family's 1533-position model. The record is from RNAcentral.
GACGAACGCUGGCGGCGUGCCUAAUACAUGCAAGUAGAACGCUGAAGGAGGAGCUUGCUCUUCUGGAUGAGUUGCGAACGGGUGAGUAACGCGUAGGUAACCUGCCUGGUAGCGGGGGAUAACUAUUGGAAACGAUAGCUAAUACCGCAUAAGAGUAGAUGUUGCAUGACAUUUGCUUAAAAGGUGCAAUUGCAUCACUACCAGAUGGACCUGCGUUGUAUUAGCUAGUUGGUGGGGUAACGGCUCACCAAGGCGACGAUACAUAGCCGACCUGAGAGGGGGGUCCGCCACACUGGGACUGGGAAACGGCCCAGACUUCUACGGGAGGCAGCAGUAGGGAAACUUUGGCAAUGGACGGAAGUCUGACCGAGCAACGCCGCGUGAGGGAAGAAGGUUUUCGGAUCGUAAAGCUCUGUUGUAAGAGAAGAACGAGUGUGAGAGUGGAAAGUUCACACUGUGACGGUACCUUACCAGAAAGGGACGGCUAACUACGUG